UACAGAGGUCUCAAGCGUUGUUCGGAUUCAUUGGGCGUAAAGGGUGCGUAGGCGGCGCGGUAAGUCGGGGGUGAAAUCCCGAGGCUCAACCUCGGAACUGCCUUCGAUACUGGCGAUCUUGAGUCCGGGAGAGGUGAGUGGAACUCCGAGUGUAGAGGUGAAAUUCGUAGAUAUUCGGAAGAACACCAGUGGCGAAGGCGGCUCACUGGCCCGGUACUGACGCUGAGAUACGAAAGCGUGGGGAGCAAACAGG
Molecule: ribosomal RNA, 253 nt
Filed under: uncultured bacterium
Lineage: Bacteria
Description: partial 16S ribosomal RNA
Rfam family: Bacterial small subunit ribosomal RNA
Source: RNAcentral